GGCUCAGAAUCAACGCUGGCGGCGCGCCUAACACAUGCAAGUCGAACGAGAAAGUGGAGCAAUCCAUGAGUACAGUGGCGUACGGGUGAGUAACACGUGGGUAAUCUACCUCUUAGUGGGGAAUAACUUUGGGAAACCGAAGCUAAUACCGCAUAAGCUCGAGAGAGGAAAGCAGCAAUGCGCUGAGAGAGGAGCCCGCGGCCGAUUAGCUAGUUGGCAGGGUAAAAGCCUACCAAGGCAAAGAUCGGUAGCCGGCCUGAGAGGGCACACGGCCACACUGGCACUGAAACACGGGCCAGACUCCUACGGGAGGCAGCAGUGGGGAAUCUUGCACAAUGGGGGAAACCCUGAUGCAGCGACGCCGCGUGAGCGAUGAAGCCCUUCGGGGUGUAAAGCUCUUUCGGCAGGGAAGAUAGUGACGGUACCUGCAGAAGCAGCUGCGGCUAACUACGUGCCAGCAGCCGCGGUAAUACGUAGGCAGCGAGCGUUGUUCGGAGUUACUGGGCGUAAAGGGUGUGUAGGCGGUUGUUUAAGUUUGGUGUGAAAUCUCCCGGCUCAACUGGGAGGGUGCGCCGAAUACUGAGCGACUAGAGUGCGGGAGAGGAAAGUGGAAUUCCUGGUGUAGCGGUGAAAUGCGUAGAUAUCAGGAGGAACACCGGUGGUGUAGACGGCUUUCUGGACCGUAACUGACGCUGAGACACGAAAGCGUGGGUAGCAAACAGGAUUAGAUACCCUGGUAGUCCACGCCCUAAACGAUGCAUAUUUGGUGUGGGCAGUUCAUUCUGUCCGUGCCGGAGCUAACGCGUUAAAUAUGCCGCCUGGGGAGUACAGUCGCAAGGCUGAAACUUAAAG
This 852-nucleotide ribosomal RNA is filed under the name uncultured bacterium. Its description in RNAcentral is "bacterial SSU rRNA". It matches the Rfam family "Bacterial small subunit ribosomal RNA", at positions 21 to 906 of the family's 1533-position model. The record is from RNAcentral.